Molecule: small nuclear RNA, 329 nt
Filed under: Prolemur simus (greater bamboo lemur)
Lineage: Eukaryota; Metazoa; Chordata; Mammalia; Primates; Lemuridae
Description: 7SK RNA (ENSPSMG00000003513.1)
Rfam family: 7SK RNA
About the family: 7SK was discovered as an abundant small nuclear RNA in the mid-70s but a possible function has only recently been suggested. Two independent studies have found that 7SK RNA binds the CDK9/cyclin T complex (known as elongation factor P-TEFb).
Source: Rfam by way of RNAcentral
AGAUGUGAGGGUGAUCUGGAUGCGACGUCUGUCACCCCAUUGAUCACCAGAGUUGAUUCAGCAGAUCUGGCUGGCUAAGCAGGUGUCCCCUUCCUCCCUCACCACUCCAUAUGCAUCCCUCCUGAAGAUGCAUGUUUAGUGGGAAAGGAUGGCCUUCCCACAGAGAGAAGGAGCAUUCUUUGGUCAAGGGUGUAUGAGUAGCUUGUGGUCCCCUGUUAGAACUUCCAAUCAAGCUCUCAGAAUAAAGGUAGGGCCUUGUUCCCUCUGAAUGGUCUAGGGAAUAAUCUGUUCCAUGCUUCUUUCUUAGCUUCUGGUGUUUGCCAGCAAUC